Molecule: long non-coding RNA, 27658 nt
Filed under: Triticum aestivum (bread wheat)
Lineage: Eukaryota; Viridiplantae; Streptophyta; Magnoliopsida; Poales; Poaceae
Description: long non-coding RNA (TAES_LNC002445)
Rfam family: MIR1120/MIR1122 microRNA precursor family (bases 1556-1690)
Source: RNAcentral
GUACUGGCCAUCGGCACGGCGAACCCGCACCACUGCGUGCCCCAGGGCGACUACCCCGACUACUACUUCCGCGUCACCAACAGCGACCACCUCACCGACCUCAAGCCCACCUUCGCCAAGCUAUGCGGGAUGACGGGCAUCGGCAGGCGUUUCUUCCACCACACCGACGAAAUGCUCGCCACGCACCCGAACUUGUCCCUCGACGCCCGGCUGGACGUCGUGGCUACCGCUGCGCCGGAACUCGCCGCGUCGGCUGCCGCGAAGGCCAUAGCCGAAUGGGGCCGUCCGGUGGGCGACAUCACCCAUCUCGUCGUCAGCACCAACGCGGGAUCGCACGCCCCGGGCACCGAUGUCCGCUUGGUCUCCCUCCUCGGCCUCCGCCAUGAUGUCCUGCGCACCGUGCUCCAGCUCAACGGCUGCGCUUCCGGGUGCGCCGCCCUGCGCUUAGCCAAGGACCUCGCCGAGAACAACCGCGGUGCGCGCGUCCUCGUGGCCUGCGUCGAGCUCACUAUCACCGCCUUCCGCGGGCCCGACAAGGCGGACUCCUUCGACGCCCUCAUCCCCCAAGGGCUCUUCGGUGACGGUGCAGGCGCCGUCAUCGUGGGUGCUGAACCCUACGUCCACGAGCGCCCGCUGUUUGAGAUGGUGUCAGCUUCCCAGUACGUGAUACCAGACACCGAGCACAUGCUCACCAUGCAGCUCGGCAGCGGUGGCAUCGGCGGGACCAUUGCCACCGGACUGCCAAGACUGGCGGCGGGCAUCGUUGAGCAGUGCCUGCUAGAUGCAUUUGGCGACCGCCUAGCCGGCAGCGGAGGUGUCGUCGAAUGGAACAACCUCUUCUGGGCCGUGCAUCCCGGCAGCAGUGUGAUGUUGGACCACAUCGUCAGGGCACUCCGGCUUGCUCCGGGGAAGCUGGCGGCGAGCAGAACCGUGGUGAGAGAGUAUGGGAACAUGCUGGGCGCCACGGUGAUCUUCGUGCUCGAUGAGGUCAGGCGCCAAAGAGAAGAUCCUCAAGGAGAGGGAGCUGGCCAUGAUGAAGGCUGGGGGGUGAUGAUGGGAUUUGGACCGGGGUUCACUGUGGAGGCGAUGCUGCUGCACGCCGCUACCUAGGUAAUUAGAAAGAACAAAUAAAAAACACAUGGCAUAUAUAUUCAAUAAAGUGCAUGAAAUGCAACCUUUUAUAUUUCCAUAUCCACAUAUCACCUAUAUAUACGUAAGUGUAAGAAAUGUGAACAUGUGGUGUGAGAGUGGUUAAGUCCUGUAAGAGUGAUCUACAAUAUAUGGUUAUAAAUAAAAUUUUAGCUACUUGCAAGUUGCUUCAGUUGUAAAUUUGGAUCGGUCAAUUUCUUGGCCGUUCAUUUUUGCUCUCGAAUUCGUGCUAUGGUUUUUUUUUCUGGACUGCCGUGGUCUUAUUUUUCUUUUUUUUAACUGGCCUCAUAUUUUGAUCAGUCGCUUUGCUUCUGGGACGAAGCCCAUUAAUUGUGCGAUCAAGCCCUCCUAUCUCUUCCUUUGUUUCUUAUGUCUUUUCUGAUUUUAUGUGUUUUCGUCUUUGUUCUUUGUACUCUCUCCGUCCGGAAAUACUUGUGAUCAAAAUGAAUAAAAAGAGAUGUAUCUAGAACUAAAAUACGUCUAGAUACAUCCCUUUUUAUCCAUUUUGAUGACAAGUAUUUCCGGAUAGAGGGAGUAUUUCUUUGUUAGUUGGUAUUUCUUUUUCUUUUUUUGAUAUUUCUGGAAUCUUGGCUGCCAUUAUGGACAUCUAGUUGCUGAGAUGCAUCGUCUCAUGGGUGAAAGGGAAUUUAUUCCGUCGAAGAUUAAUCGAGUUCAGAAUAGGGUUGCAGAUCGGCUGGCGUAUUAUAGCCGUACGGAGAAUACAACUGCUGUAUGACUAGGUAGGAGUCCACCGUGUGUGGAGGAACUUGUGCCACUUGAUUGUAUCCCUAUCACACUGGAAUAAAAAUCCUUUUACCCUCGCAAAAAAAACAAACUAAUAGGCUACAGUGACAGUGAUUUGACUGGGGAUAUCAAUGAUAGAAAGAGCACAACCGGAGUAGUUUUCUUCAUAUGUCCCAAUAUAGUGAGUUAGAUUUCUCACAAGCAAAAGGUAGUAGCAGAGUCUUCAUAUGAAGCAGAAUACCAUGCUUCUGCUACUGCAGCUUGUCAAGGCAUUCAGCUGAGCAGAUUGCCAUCUCAGUUGAAAUUUGAAGAACCAGAACAAUUUAUGCUCAUGUUGGAUAAUAAAUCGGCAAUGGCACUCAGCAGAAACCCGUCCACCACGACAGGAGCAAGCAUAUCAAUAUAAAAUAUCAUUUCAUCAGAGAUUACGUGGAGGAGAAGAUGUCAGGACAGUGGGUCAGCUGGCAGACAUACUAAGUGUCAGCAUGUGGUGUGCUUGACACAUGUUCAGACGCCGCACUGUAGAGCAUGUCCAUGUACUGCUGCAUCGACAGCAGGGUUGUAAAAGGGUGAGGUGCAUCGUGCAGCAAACCAACCCCAACUAUUCACUCUGAAAGAAUAGAAAGAAAAGGAAGGCUCCCAAAAAGGAGGCUGGACCCAAAUCCUCCGUCUCUGCUCUGAUUUUUACCUCAGGUUUUCUUCUCCGGCGAGUUCAGAAUCCACCGUACUAAGCUAGUUCGAGCGUGAGAUUAGAGGAGAUGCAUGAAGUGCUAAGUAAAUAGGCAAUUUUUCGACUAAUUUAAUUCAUAGAUAAAUCACUAGCUUAGCAUUGACUGAAUUGACGACAUACAGACUCUGAUCUAAACACGCACGUACUAAGCAAACAGUAGACAAAUCUACAGAUACGGCUAGUAACGCUAAUACGAAAAUAAACAGGAGCGGGAUAAACGUGUUAUACCCUCCAGUAGGCCAGGCAGAAGCCGCGGUAGCGGUGACAGCAGUAGCGGCAUCCUCGGCGGCCUUCUUCUCGGCCUUGGUCUUCUCGACGGCGGCACAUUCGGCGUCGGUGGACAUGAUGAUGACGAAGACGACGCGGACGUAGAGGAAGUAGUGGAUCGAAGGCGAGCAGUCGCCGCUCCCCAAAAACCUAUUCGCCUCGCUCCCAUACAGAAACAGGAGAGACGGGGUUUCGGAGACCUGCUCUCCCAUCGAUCGUGUACGCGACGGACGGGAUGGAGUCACCGGUGGCAGCGGCAGUAGAGGAACGACGGUGGGCGGUUCGCGUGGAGCAGAUGUGAUUUGAUCGUGGAGGCUAGGAUUAGGAGAUAUCGCACACUUAUAUAGGCGCAGCCGCGUGGAGAGACAUGGGCUUGACCCACAUCCGAGUCUGUGACAGCCCAUGAUCCGACGUCUCAGAUCGUGGCCCAGCUAUCAGCAACUCUCCAUUAGUGACUGGCAAAAAUAAGUGCGUAGGUGUGAGCUCAGCUCGACUCAUUCCCGCAACCCCCGUCGCGUCGUGACGAGGCGUGGCAUGGCGAGGUGGGCGACGGAGGAGGAGUGCGCGAGGGCCUCUUCUCUUCUCAAACUCCAAUAGCAUUUAGAAGAGAAACCCUUAUAAGAAGGUCCAACUCCUCUUCCACUUUCGGGGUGGGACUAAACUUCGCACUACACCUAGUGCCAAUAAACCCACAUGGGCCCUUAGAGAUUUUCAGAAAUUGCUUUAUGGGCCUAAAUCCCAUCCCAAAUUUCAGCAAUCCCCCACCAGAUCUCGAGGGCCCAUUGUGUCCUCUGUUCCAUUUGUUGUUUCAAUAUACUAGUGUUUCAGUGAAGACCUGUUAAGGUUGAGCUUCACCUAGAGCAAGUAGCUAUACUCCUUCACAACUGAACAAUGGACUUUUUCUUGAAUUGUCAGUUUGGUUUAAAGAAGCUUCACCACAUGUCUUACUAGUACUAGGCUGUCGAAGGCUGACCCCUCGGAUGGAGCAUAUAAGUCACACUCCUCGCCUAUUCAUGAGCUUACUGGAGAUCACCCCAAUCUCAUAGACUGUGACCAGCAGUCGGGCUCACAUAGGUGAGUUCCUCCAAAGAUCACUCUAUAGGAUAGGAUCUUGCUUACAUAAGCUUUGAAACACAUUAAGACAGUAGUCAUCGUACCAUACAGUAUCGAGAGUGGGUUACUGUAGUUACUCUCCUCAGUUCACCACUGGCUUGUUUUCCCAGGUCCUACUUCAUGGGAUCUCUGAUCACAUAGGUUGGUUACCACCAUGGCAACUCAUGUGGGUCUCAUACCCAUCUCCCUCGAUGCACUAUCUAUCACAACACGUGGUAGCCCUUUUGUAAAGGGAUUUGCCAGAUUCUUAGCCGUAUGCACUACAAAAAAAAUACAGUUCCGUGAUGAUACGUGUUUGUCAUAGUAGGUCGCGUUUUUUGUCAUGCAUGUACAUCCAUGACAAAUUUAUGACAGAAUCAAGAUAGUCAUACCUGUGCUGUCGUAGAAGUGUUCCAUGACAUUACCAAAAUUAUCAUCACGGAAGUGUCCACUUCCAUGACGAUAAAUCGCGCGUCACAGAACUGCUUUCGUCAAGGGUGACCGACACGUGGCAUCCACCGUAACGGAACGCCGUUAAGCUAUCGGGUCGGGUUUUGGAUCCGAUAACCCGUUAACAGCCCCGACCAAUGGGGAUUUUCCACGUGUAAAAUCAUCAUUGGCUGGAGGAAACACGUGGCGGCUCACCAUUGGGACAGAUGUCAUCCGCUCAUUGGACCGAAGGCGCAUAUGAUACGGCGACACGUGGCACGACCCAACAAAGGCCCAUUCCUGUGAAAAGGCCGACCCGUUUGACUUGGUCAAAAGGUGGCGGGCCGGCCCACGGAAAGCCUGUUAACGGCCUGUUCGCAUAUAGCCCAUUUACAGCCCGCUAACCCAGGGCCCAUUACGCCCUAUCCGAAUUAGGCCCAGUAGCGUCAUCUGGGCCGUCCAAUAUGAUUCAGCCCGUUUUAACUUCCGACCCAUGUGUGGCCCAUGACUUCUUUCGGCCCAUAUGAGGACCUUUGUAACUCUUGGCCCAUUAACGGCCCGUGGUGAAACUGGCCCGUAAUGAACAGUGUAUCACUUUAUACCCAUUAACGGCCCGUUAUUCCAUUGGGCCGUUUCCAGCCCAAGUUAUCUUUCGGCCUUCUCAGGGCCCAUUGAUUCUUGGGCUCAUUUGCAGCAUUCGGUUACAUACGGCCCGUUACUGUCAUUUUCUGCUUGUGGGCCAAAUUCAGCCCGUCGUUACAGUCGGCCCGUUUGCGGACCGUUAAUACGUUGGGCCGUUUUCUUGUAAAAAAACCCGUUGGGCUGUUUUCAUAGAGUUAUCAAAUACGGCCUAUUAACGACCCAUUAUGGUCCAUGAAUAGUACGACCCAUGAUUGGUGAAAUGAUGAUACGCCCUGUAGAAGGCCCAUGGAUCCUAUGGCCCGUAUGAGGCCCAUGGAUAGUACGGCCUGUAGAAGGCCCAUGGACCCUACGGCCCAUAGAAGGCCCAUUGAUCCCUAAGGCCCGUAUAGAAGGCCGAUGGAUCCUACGGCCUGUAUAGAAGGCCAAUGCUCCUACGACCGAACGAAGGCCCAUGGAUCAUACGGCCUGCAGGAGGCCCAUGGUUACAACAGUCCGUGUGUUGCCAAGAUUAUUUUGGCCUAGUUACCAAAAAUAGGCUAUUGUGGCCACUAGAAAAACACAGAAAAAGAACUGUAGUGACUACAAGCAAACAACUAAACAAGACAAUAAGGAAAUAAAUAAGCAAGCAAUUAAGGCUAGCCUAUUACCGCUAUUACACAUAUUACAUCCACUAGGCAUCAAAGUUCGCCACCAGUGCAAAUAUAGGGAACAAAGCAGCAUAUUACAUACACUUGGCCGUCAAAAUUGGCCACCAGUGCAAAUAAACGCGACAGCAAAACAAGAGCAUAACUGAAACAACUUCAGAAGAGUUCAAGAAACGUUAUCCUGGGUAUCCACCAUGCUGGCAAUAAGCUUAGCAAGCUGAUUAGCUUUGUCUUGUUUGGCGCUAAAAUCCUCCAACGCUUGGUGUUGCACCAGAAAGUAUGCAUCUGAAUGCUCCAGGGAAUUCCGCAGUCCUUCCACUUCUUGUCGCAGCACAGGUGAUCGAUAUCUUUCAGCUUGUAGUUGAGACUCAAGAAACUAAACUGAUUCAGACAGUUAGUUUGAAUAGCUUGUGCAAGCGGUAGUGGCCAGUAACUCGAACACUAAACCAAGACAGGACUUUGGAGUUGUCUCGCUGUCUUCAAGAUAGUCUUCUUUAGCUGUUUUAUCAGCUUUGUUGGAGACCAACAAGGAUGUGUCACUAUCCUGAACCUUAUCUGCAUUACUUCCUUUACCAUUGCUUAAUAAGGCACUUUUCCCCAAUAUUCUGUCAGCAUUCUAAAAGAAGAAACAAGCAGACACAUAACAAGUUUAGCAUGUACUAGUAUAUGAAACUCAUUUCGGUGAACCAGUUCAUUAGUAAGGUGGACAGGAUUAAACUACCAAGUCUUUUAUUGCCAAGUACUAGUACAUAAUAAAAGCAUCAAACAAACAUAUAUCUAUGUCCUAUGGUCACCGCAUUGUCUUGCGAAAUCAAAAUAGAGACACGGUUCAAAUCAUAUCAGUUCAAGACAAAGCAACAGUGAAAGAAUACAAAGCGUGGGAAACUACAUGGAACAACAAGAUUUUAGAUGGGUACCAUGGGUCUACAUGUACAACAACACUAUUGGCUCUGUUGUGAUGCUAGUAAUGUGCAUGAUAUGAAAGUCUACUGUAUACACAAUUGAAAUUGAAAUUGAAAUCAAAAGAGCUAUUGAUAAGAGCAAACCUGUUAAAGAAACAUGCGUGAACAUACCUGUCGUGCCAUUGGAGUUUUGAUUGGAUCCUUCAAUUUAAAAAUAAGUUUGUAUGAGUAAAUACAAUGAUACAAGAGCAAAGCAAUCAUAGUUAAAAAAAAGCGCGCCUAAGUGAGCGCUUAAGGCUGGUCAUAGUGGGGAGUAACUUAGACUAGUAACAUGCAUAUGUUACUAGUUUAUGUUACUACCUCUAUAGUGCAUAGUAUUUUAGAUUAGUAUCAUAGGUGGUCUCAUUUAUUGUCAUGCAUGACACAUAGUAGCAUCACAUUUAUUAUAUUACGGUAUCUACCUAUGUUACUAUAACAAUCUAUUUAUUCCUUAAUUGCCUGCCACAUAAGCAUGUUUGCGAGUCCCAAGUGCAUGAUACUACUUAUGUUACCCCCACUAUGGCUAGCCUAAGCGCGCCUAGGCUCUAGGCGUUAGCAAAACGCAUUGCACAUAACUACGCUUAAUCUAUGCAUAACUGCGCAUAAGCAUGCGCUUUGGUCAGUAAAGUGCAAGGCGGUGGCAAAACGCACAAUUAACGCCUGGCGCUUUUUUAAACUAUGAUAGCAAUGGAAUCUUAAAUUAGAACAGUUGUUCUUCAGGUUUAGGCACUUGUUCUACAUGAAUAGAGUACAGUAAGACGCAAGAAUAUAAUACUUAAAAUAGAAAAUGAGCUCAUAGACCUUACCACAUUCUUGGUUAGAACAAUGCAUUCUCAGUCAUCGUCCAAUAAAUGUGUCUCAGGAGAACGUAAGAGAAUUUGAUGAGUUUCUUUGCCGGUGAAGUACGUUUUCUUUAGGUAAUUCCGAUACCGCCACCAAGCAUUCUUGAAGAUAUUAGAGGUAUUAGCACAGGUUACCUCAUCCUAAGUUUCCAAAUCGGUCCUUCUCUAUAGAAAAAAUGGGAAAAUUUGCUGUAUUAUAACCAUCAUGGAGGUAGGAUGUAUGGGACGAAGCAAAGUAAUUGCCAUGAAUAACAUUACUUACACAUAACUCCUAGACAAACACCUGCAACUGUCAUUUUCCUUCAUCUUCAGUAUAAUAUUUCCAAGAUGGGAAGAUACGCACAUACGAUUUAACAACAUCAAAUGCGAUAGAUGCUAAACUACGAUUGGCUGGUUUUGCUUCCUCCACGGGAAUAGGCGUACUAACUGGUGAAGCUGGGGUUCGUCGUGAUAGUACUGGCCCUUUGGGCACUGGAGCUGCCUUACUAACUGCUCUUGUUUGGGAGCUCUGUGGUGGAGAUGGUGCUGUGUCAACAGGAACUGGGUUACUAUCGGCUGGGGUUGGGGUUAGAUUGGGUGAAGCUGGUUCUCUGUCCAUCGCAGUAGGGGUAUAAUCUGCGAGAGUUUGGGUUAUGUGUGGUAGGGCUAGUUCUUGUGCAUGUACAACCGGGGUGUUAUCUCCACCAAUAGGUAGCACUGUUUUAUUUGAAGACCGUAUUUUUAUUCCGCUAGAUACUGGCAUCACCGCUCCAAUUUAAAUGGCUGAUAAACAGGAAACAUAGUUGAAUGUACAGACAUUGUAUGAGAGAUAGAUGCAAUAGAUAGUGUGGAAAGAAGAGGGCAUGAAAUAGUUGACAUGUAUAUUGUUUAACUAAAACGGAUAGCAUGACAUAAUUUCACAUAUACGAUGUCUAUCUAAACUGGAUAGCAUAGCAUAACAUAAUUCAAAGAUAUGAUGAAUAACAAAACAAAAUCGCAUGACAUAAUUCACCUACAUGUUAUCUAAGUAAUCAGGAUCGCAUCAUUUAAUUCACAUAUGUGAUUUAUAUGCUAAAUAGAGGGCAUUCGAUAUGAUGUCUGAACUAAGAACAUGGUGUUGAAUAUUGUGUAUAUGAUGUCUAAACUAUGCAAUGCAAGACACCGUAUGCAUGAUAUGAGCAGUAUAACCGUGCCAAGUCAGAGCAUACACCUCAGUAGGGGAAUAGGACUGGUCAUUUGUCUCUGAAUCCAUCUCUGAGGAGCUAUCGGGACCCAACAAGAGAUCUGCUUCGACAGGUAGCACUGUCUGCUCUAAAGGCCUUGUUUUCACUCCAGAUUUUUCCAUCUCCCACCCAAAUGGCUGAUUCACAGGAAGAGUAGUUUAAUGUACAAACAUUGUCGACAAAUGGAAAUGUAAUGAAGAAAAGGAUGGGCAAGAUAUCAUUCAAAUAUAUGAUACCUGGUUAAAUAGGAUGGCAUUGCACAUUUCACAUAUAUUAUGGCUGGCUAAAAGACAUGAGACUGCAUAAUUCCCAUAUAUGAUAUAGAAACUAAACAUGUGGCAUUAUAGAACAUGUCUAAACUAAGCAGAUGACAUAUAUGAUGUCAAAAGUAGGCACUGCAAGGCAACAUAUGCAUGAUAUGACUAACAUCAUCAUGCCAAGGUAGAGCAAACACCUUGGGGGGUAAAUAGGAGUAGUCAGCGGCGUCUGAAUCCGCCUCAGAAUAGAUAUCUUCCUCUGGAUUACAAUCUGGAGAGGGGUGGGGAGGGUUUGCCAUUGAACCCACCAUGGAGGGAUGUCUGCAUGACAUUGUAUUGCCGCGCAAAACUCUUCUCUUUUUCUCUACAUGUUCAGCAUGACUGUGUACAAUAUCUGACAUGCAGGAAUUUAGAGUGAUGGUAACAACCAGUGGAUGGAUCCAAAAAUAAUGAUAGCAGGCUGAUUAUUGCUUUAAAUUAAUAAAAAGACAGAUGAUGAUUGCUUUACUAUUUAUUUCCCACCCAAGAUGAACAACAUAGGCAUACCCUAAGUGAACCAGAUAUUAGACAGACAUACUAUUCAUUGCUGCCUCAAUAUGUGCCCCACAACUAAUUUAGAACUCAAGUUUGAACAUGAAUUUGGACCUGAGUUGGGAGUCCAAGAGAUGAACAGGACGAUAAAGUAGCAGGUAAGUUUAAGCAAUGGAUAACAUAAGCAGAAACAAAAGAGUGCGACCUCUCUUGUGGACCCCUGUACUCCUCAGGUUCAUCUACUGAGUCGAUGAUGGUGAUGCCGUUGGGGUUCGUGCCGGUGGCAGGGAAGGAGAUCUGAGGCAGUGAAAGACGGUCAGGAGUCGUGAUGUCUGGUUUGGUGGAUGCUUCUAUCGUUGGAGCAGCUCAGGUGAGGUGGACGACGUCGCGGCAGGAGUAGGACAAACCACACAAAGUUCCCAUCGACACGUACCUGUAACUGAAGUAAUUCUGUAAGGCCUCAUUUGGCUUGCAUGAUUCUUAAAACGCAGGGAUAGGAAAAACACCGGAAUAGGAUAGGAAAAUGCACAUGGUAAACAGAGCAUUUGUAAACACAGGAUUUCUAUCAACUUGGGUGUUUGGUUUACAGGAAUUGGAAGAGCAGAGGAAUGCAAAGAAACAUGGCCAAAAUAAAGUGAAACCAUAUGAAAGAGUGUACAGUUAGAAUGUUAUUCUGGCACUAAUGCACUUGGUCUUGUUUUUAUGCAUAGGAUUUUGAAAAGUAGGUCCAGGUGGAUGUUUUGCUUCAUUCCUUUCAAUAAAAUGCAUGAAUAAUUGAAUAGUAGAGUGCCAUUGGAAAAUUCCCUAUUGCUAUGUUUUUCCGUUGAACCAAAAUAGCCCUAAUGGAUCGACGUGAAUGUAUAGUAGUAAGUGACGCAAUAAGUGUACAACCUCUUUGCCGUAGCUGUGUCGACCUCAGCAUCAUUGGGUUGGUCGCUGAAGCAGUUGAGGCAGAGGUGGCUGUCGGAGGUGUGGAGGAAGAUCUGAGGAAUCUGUAGACGGCAUCCAGGGCACUGCUCUGUUGUGAUGGAUCGUUCUGUCAUUGGAGCAGCUCCGGUGAGCUGUAAGACGUCAAGGCUGAAGCAGCACAAGACAUACAUCGUCAAUCUCAAGUGGGAUACUAAUAGCAUCUCCAAUAGAUGAUGAAGAAUGGAUGUAAAAUUAACAUCACCAAAAACCUUGUCGUGUAUGUGAAACAUUCAAUGCUUAUUUCUUGCUAAGUUUGUCAUAUGUGCCAAUUCAAUUCCCUGUUUUGAUGAAUAUGCCUAUUCCAGAUAAGUAGAAUGAGCUUGUUAAAAUAAUAAUAAGUAGAAUGAUAAAUACUGGUGUGUCUUUAGUUUUUAUAUUGAAAGUAUCAGUGUAAUAUUUCUUCUAUCAGUGACAUACUUUUUGUUCUCUUUUGAAUGUCCAGAUGUUUUGCAAAAGGAAGAAGCAGUACUUGAAGAAGCAGAUUACAAUGUUUUCUUGUCGUGAAGCACUAGAUAGGCUUGCUCUAUUUAUUCUUCCUGUUCUAGAGUAUUCCAGCACCUGAAUGCUUGACUACAACAAGUUGUAGGUUGCUUGAGUCUGUACAUAUGUGAUGAAAAUUUGUAGAAUGUGUGUUCUGAGAUAUUUUCGUAAUAUUCAGCUAAUUUGUGGUAACUUGAUUCAUAUUGUUAUUCAAACUGGUUUGAAAUUUUUCUUUAAAUGGUCUGGAGUUGGACCUUAAAGAGGCUAAGGAUCAAUUAUAUUGGACAAAUAUUUUGGGUAAAAAAGUAAAACGAAAAUAAAUGAAUGUGGAAAGGCCAAGGCCCAGGAAAGAAAAACCUGGAAAACAUUGGGCUGGACUCAUUUGAAAAAAAAGAUAAAAAGGCUAAAAUGUGGGCUUGGCCCAUGUAGUCAACCAAAUUAAUAGGAAAAAUAUAUAUUAAAAAGGCCGAAUUGUUGGGCUAGGCCCAUGUAGAAAACUGAAUUGGACCGGGCUGAAUCUUGUGCCACAUCAGCUUGCCACGCUGGAUGCCUACGUGGCCUGGGGAGGUUGCUAGUGACCAAAACACCACAGUAGGCAUAUUUUGGUCGUAAACGUCUACGACCUUCUCACAGAGAAGGUCGCUAUAGUCAGUUUACGACCGCCAGCUUUUGACCUUCUGUUUUUGGUCACAAAAAGAUCGCAAAUGAAAAACCAUGACCUUUCAGUGACCAAUAGUGAUGGUCACAAGUUGACAUAUUUCUUGUAGUGUAUUAAGGAGGUUGUUUCUUUGCACAAAAUUAGGGGUAGUUUCUCCUCUUCUGUAACAAGCGAAGAAGUGAACUUUCAAAAGUACUAUUAAAGAACGUAGAAGAAAUUUCAAGAAGCCGGUAUCGGUGUAUUAAGGGUGCAUUUGACUAUAUAGAUAUGUAAGUAUAGACGGAUAAACAGAAAAUACUGUUGAUAAAUUAAUAGCCUAUCUGUAAAAUAGAUGCUUUAUGUCUGCUGUGCAUAUGGUUUCUGCCAAUUACCUUGUCAUAAAUAAAAAUUAGUAUGCAUUUCUGCCAACUACCUUGUGGCAAAUUAUAAUUAUCUAUCAGUACACUGUGAUAAAUCAUAUACAACACUGCAUGGUUAUUUAUUAUUAAAAAUGGCAUUAUUUUCUUAAGUAAUGAAUUAAUACUCCCUCCAUCUCAUAAUAUAAGAUGUUAUGACGACCGAUCUACUCACAUAUUGUUUGUAAUAACAUCUAAUAUUAUGUGGCAGAGGGAGUAUUAAUUGAAAUUCUAUUAUCUACUACUCCCUUCAUUCCUAAAUAUAAGUCUUUUUAGAGAUUAUAAUAUGCACUACGCACGGAGCAAAAUGAGUGAAUAUACACUCUAAAACGUCUAUAUGCAUCCGUGUGUAGUCCGUAUAGAAUUCUCUAAAAAAACUUAUAUUUAGGAAUGGAGGGAGUACAACAAUGCAAAAAAAAAAACAUGCUUCUGCCAACUAACUUGUGAGAAAUCGACACUCGGAAGGUGGCAAAUAUAACACUUAUUAGAACUGAUACUAUGUAGUAUUACCUUAUCUAUACCUUCAUGAUUUGAUACUAUAAUUUAUUUCCUCAUCUGGAACUAAAAGUUCCACAUUACCACUACACAAUCAUUAACAACAUCUUACCUCGUGUGAGGUAAUAGCAAUAUUAGCGUAGUUAUUUAUGGAGUAGUACGAAAUGAUAUCUUGAGGUGCUCGAUUUGGGCCAGAAGCAUACAAAGUCAAGUUUUUCUUUUUGAACAAAGUACUAGGGGUGAGAGAAACUGAAGGAACGUCAGGCUCCACCGAUUUAUAUUCAUUCAUUGCGGAGAGAAUGCCUAUGGGAUGGCGCCACACACGUGGUUGGGCUCUCUCCACUUGACCGACAACGUCUAAGAACAUCUUUAACAGGCGCCCAAAAGCUGCUCCGUGCAUAAAAAACCAUUCUUUUAUGACGCCGGAAACGUUCCAACAGAUGUUGUAAAAUAGUACAUGUGUAAAAGAAUUUUAUGCACGUGCUUAAAAGCGCUAUCGCACGCUACAAAUAUUGAACGCCGUAUAACGCGCUUCAUAAUUUGCACUGCGUAUUUUUUGGACGCGGAUUUUUGAGCAUAUGUGGAAAACCUAUGCUGGCCGCGGCGUGCUAAAAGUAAUAUAGUGGGGCUGUAAAACUAUUUUAGCGCUUCACCUCUGUUGGGAUGCUCUAAUGCGUGAACGUGUGACCAGCAUUGACUAGCUAUGUACACACUACGUCGGCUCACAUAUGCAUACAUAUUCACAUCCGAGCAAGUACGUAGGCAGCUCACUGUAGUACCACAAUAGAUAUCUUAAGGUGACACUGGAUUGGUUGUUGAAUCUUGCAAUAAGUAAGGACAAAUUUGUAAUACGAUUCCAGUACGCGAUUACACAUGUGUCAGAUUGACUAGGCGAGGGCCGCUGGAUUGACAGAUCGUGGUACGUGGAGGGCACAGCUUGGUUGUUUGUUCGUCCGUCGAUCUGCAUAUGCACGUACAAUACGGUCGCUAUCCUGUCCUAUGCAAAUAUCACAAGUCUUUCGUUACUACUCCCUUCGUCCCAUAAUAUAAAUGCAUUUUUAACACUUCUGUAGUAUUAAAAACGCUAACAUUCUUAUAUUAUGAACUAAGGAAGUAGUAGAUAUGUACUCCCUCCGUCCCAAAAUUCUUGUCUUUGAUUUGUCUAAAUACGGAUGUAUCAAAUCACGUUUUAGUAUUAGAUACAUAUGUAUCUAGACAAAUCUAAGACUGGAUACAUACAUUUAUUUCUUUUUCACGUCAGACUGGAUACAUACAUUUAUUGGACCUACACAAUCAUUAAAGGACAACAUGUUCCCCAAGGAAUAGUGGCCUAUUGAAAGGACAUUCAGUUUGGCAGAAUUAUGUAGCUUCUCUUUUCAGGCAAUCUCGCAAAACGUUUAUUCAACUACCACAAUGUUUACCCGGACGAAAUGAAUACCACCGGACUGGCCUAACCAAACAUGUUGGCAAACUCCAAAAGUCAAAUUAUGUUUCGAAAUUGUGAGACUCGACAUUUGAGCUCCUGAGAGCAACAGCAACGCAGGUACCCAUUUCGUCUGCCGCCGUUCGUUUGGGUCGGCGCGGACAAAAGAGCUGACCCAACGCGCCGACCCAUUCCCAUAGCGCGUCCGUGCGGACCUAUUUGCGGCUGUAGUGCGUCGGCGCAGACGCGAAGCUGACUCGCCGCGCGUCCUCUCGGUGUCCGCCGCGUCCCCACCUGGCGGCCACCCAACUACCAUGGUUAGCUUUAUUAAUGACGACCGCUCAUCACGCGCCCAGGCAUCAGCGAUGGUGGUCGGUCUUUUUUAAUCCAAGCAUGCGGUGGGGGCCAUUCUCAUCCGCUUCCAGAUGCCCCGUCCCAUCUCGCCACCCCUGUCCUCCCCCGCCGGCGACAAAGCCUAGCAAAAUCCUAGCCACCACAAUGGGCCUCAUCUCAGGAAAGGGAAAGGGCAAGGGCCCUGCCGUCCGUCCGCCGUCGUCUUCCCGACGGCCAAGGUAGCGCAUCACCAUCCCAGUGCACCAGGCGAAGUGGCACUGGGGGCACCGCGUCCCCCUCCCCUACCCUGACGUCACGCAGCCGCACGACUGGCACUUGGAUCCGGAGAGGAUCCAAGUGUCGGCGGCACCGUGGUCGGCGUGGGCUCAUGCGCAAGAGGUGCGGUGCCGGAGGCAGCUGCUGACGCCGGAGCAACGUUGCGACCUGGUAUAUGCAUUCGACUUGCCCGCAUGGGAGCGGUGGUUCCCUUCGAGCACGAGCAAGCCAGGAGUCGCGGCGUCCACGACGUCUGACAUGGCUCCCUGCCGCCGGCCCUCGUCUUGCUCGACGAGGACCAUGAGGAGGAGGCCGCCUACCAGGCGGCGCUGGCCGCUGUCCUCCGUGAAAGUGAGGAGGAGCGGCGCAAGGACGAGGAGGAGGACGAGGCGUACCAGGCGCGCAUGGUGGAGGCCAUGGCGCUCUCCGCGGCCGGCGACUUCAUCAUGCCGCCCCUCGUGCCGCCGUCCCUCAUCAAGGCCGAGCUGGAGACCGAGCCGACCCCGUCGAGCGCUACUCCUGGACCAGGCACGUGCGUGAGUGUGCCAGCACGCCACCGGUCUAGUAUCGGGCGACAGCGGUGCAGGAGAAGGCCUACCUCGAGCAGUGGCGGCAGCAACGGCUGGCCGAGGAGUGCCGCGAGGGCGACUACCUCGAGAUGCUCAAGCGCGACGUAGAGGAGGAACAACGUGAGGUGAAGGACGAGGCGCGCCUUCCCGGUGUUGGGCCAGCCCAGUCGGCGGCCGCUGCUGUACAACCAGCGGCGGACGAUGUCGCUCAAGCCUGGUGAAUGGCGUUCCCUUCGUCUGGCCCUGCGCCGAGCUCAUCGACCUCACUGGCCCCGACGACGACGACGAGGACGCCUAGGGUAGUGCACCACCUCGUAGUUUUAAGUGGACUCUUGGACUCUCGUCGGUCCUUGUGGCCGCAUUAAUGUUUAAUUAAUGUUUUUACUUUACCCAAUAUGCUUGUGUUAUGUUUUUUUCGCGCGACCUGAAAAAUGGGUCGGGCCAGCGUUGGGCGCAUGUGCCGACCCAAACGCGAAAGCGGACAUGGGUGUCCGCCGGGCCGACCCAAACGGAUAAAAAGCAGACAAAAACGCCAUCUGUUUGGAUCGGCGCGUUGGAGUUGCUCUAAAUUAGUGAACUAUAUUACAUGAUAUAAAUGUUGAUAAGUGUAGUUUGAUCUCCUGGAUGAUUGCUCCAUAUGCAGCACCACUUCGUUGUGAACUUCUUUUACCACCCCUUGCAAUCCGAUGACACAUGAAUCCGAUGCCACAUGAAUACGGUUCUGGUUCAGAUCCUCGGCUAGAGCUAGCCUCUUUCUGAUAGCUAGGGCUUCUAAAGUAGCUGGGUCACCAAAGUUGGUGAAAAUAAAAGCCGAAUCUCCCAUAAAUCUUCCCACAUGAUCCUUGCAAAUGGCAUCGACCGCUCCGUUCUGCCCCUUCCGGCCAACUGUUGCAUCAAUGUUUAGCUUUGCGUGAUGUUCAGGAGGUGCCAGUCAUCCAGUCGGACAGGUAGUUGCACUCCCAUGUGACACGAUGAAGUCAUGUAUAGCAUGUGGGGUCUUAUAAAUACAUCAAUGUAUUCCUACGGGCACCCCAGAUCGCCCACAUGGUUACUACAACUUGGUAAAAUCUUCCGAUGACUACGCUCCCUGCACAGCGAAGAUCCAGCCCUUCGCGUUCUCCUCCUGGUGUAUACUCAACUGAUCUAGGAAAGCUUCGGACCACAAUGCACAUGUACUCCGCGACACUGAUCUAGGAUAGCUUUCGUAUUCCAUGUAUCAUAUAUGCCGCACAAGUUACAGGCUCAGGUCGUGCCCAUGUGAAGACGAUGGAGAACCUCUCCUGAUGGGAUUGAAUGCCUAGCCAACCGCGAAAUAAAUACCCUGAGCUUCGACGAAGCCUGAAGUUUUCCAGAUUGACUUCUAUUCCUCACGUUCUUCCUAAAGUUUUGACGAUCCCUCGUGGCCUUCUAGCCAGCUCUCUCUGUUUUGCUUAGUCCGGACCAACAUGUAGUAUGUUGAUCCCAUAGUAAAGUUGCCUCGAGGUUCUUCACUCCAUGCCCAGAAAUCCUCGAUCCUCCUAGUACACAAUGAGAUCUUAAGUAUUGCCUCAGCAUCAAACAGCGUAAAAAUUGAACUAAAGUUAUUCCAACGCACUAGUCUGCUCAAUAAGCUCGGAGACUUUUUGUGGGGAAGCUUGAAUUAGAGAAGUGAUAGGUCGUUUGUAACUCUCCCUUGGUAUCCAAUUAUGGGCCCAAAUGUUAUGCACCAGUCCCGCCGUCCCGCAUGUCUUCACCUAUUGUUCAACCACCAGCCGGACCGACCGGGUGCCGCUGUCGCUGGUGACACUGUUGGCACCUCUCUUCCCAACUUUUUUUCCAGUUACUGUUCAUACAAAGCAAACGCUCCCGGGAGCGAAAAUGCCUCCACCAUCAAAGACAUGGUAUAUAGUUCCUUCUUAUUCGUUUCCGUUUUUAUUGAUUGAUGCUUGCAUUUCCAUUGCAUAUGAAUGUACAUUGUUGCCAUCAUUUUCAUUAGUAAUAUAAGAUGCUUUUCAUUUUCAUUGCAUACGAAUGUCCAUUUGCACAAGUCUUUCUUUACAACUCCCUCCAUCCUAUAAUAUUAGAUGUUAUGACAAUCAAUGUACUCACAAUUUUUAACACAUAUGUACCCACAUAUUGGUUGUAAUCACAUUUUAUACUUUGCGACAGAGGGAUUAAUAAUUAAAAAUUCUAUUUCCUGCUACAAUAAUGCAAAAAAAUAUGCUUCUGCCAACUAAUUAACUUGUGAGAAAUUAAAACUGGGAAGGAGGCAAAUAUAACAUUUACUAGAACUGAUACUAUGUAUUACCUUAUUUAUACUUUUAUGAUUUGAUACCACUAUAAUUUAGUACUUCCUUGUUUGCAGAACUAAAAGUUCCACUUUUUUUUUGCGGAAGAAAGUUCCACAUUUCCAAUACAUAAUCAUUAACAACAUCUUACCUCGCGGGAGGUAAUAGCAACAUUAGCCUAGUCAUUAUGGUGUAGUACGUAUUGAAAAUCUUGAGGUGCUUGAUUUUCGACACAAGCGUACAAAGUCGCGUUUUUCUUUUUAACAAAAAUAGGGUGAGAGAAACUGAAGAAUACAUCGGGACACACCGAUUUAUAUUCAUGGGGUAGAGAUUACCUAUGAGGCGACUUGAACGACAGCGUCUAACAUGUGAAACCAGACCGCACGUUCAACGCGCGACUGUGAGAGGAUCUUCCGACAGUCACAUGUAGCACUGCUGGUCUUUAUCAUCGUUCGUAACCAGGUACGCCCGUGUGAAUUUGUUACCGAACACUACAGAUUUGUGAAGCUUGACAAUUCUCGUACGUUGGGUUCUAUUGGCACUUGUAGAUGCAAGUACACAUGCAUGUCAUGCUGGCUUUGUUGCGUCGUGUGCGUACCUACAUAACGCCUACCAGCAUUGACUAGCUGCGUACACACUCCCUUGACUAGCCCUGUAGAAGGCACCCGGCAAAUAAGAGCCACGUGGCACGGCCGUUUGCAGCUGGCGGCCCUGUGACGGUGCGUAACUUUUGACGAGACCCCCGACAAAAGGAUCUCGACAAAAAGAAGCCGCUGGCAGUUGCUCCACCCCAUUUGCCGAGCUUGAUAGUUGGCAAAAACGGUAAAUGCAACCUUAGUAAUUCUACCUUUUUUUUAAGGUUAUCCAUGUUUUUCCAUGGAUGCUCUUUUCUCUUAUGCAUUUUCAAGCUUAUUAGGGCAGAAAAUCAAGAUCUAACCAGCGACCAUGAAAGAUCUAGCUUUCGGGUGGGGUGAGUCUGGUUUGUGAAGGGGGUGCGAGGCCCACUCCUCCGUUGGCCUCAAAACUUUUUCUAUGAUCGUGAGGUUCCGUUCGAAGGCACGUGCCAGUUUUUCUAGGAUCGUGAGGUUCCGUUCAAAGGCACGUGCCAGGUCCUGGGACUUUUCGAGGGCCGCCGGCCAUAUUCCAUACAUUUCCAGCAUUUCCAGGGGUUCACGCGGGAAAUUGAUGAGCGGGGUUGCGACCAUGGGAAAUCAUGGACGGAAAGGGCCGGGAGUCCCCGCAGACAGUUUUCUGUCCAUGCCCAGGCGCUACGCACAGAACCAUGAGGGUGGGCCAGGUGCGGGCGGCACGGGGCCGCCAAUGCCCAUCUUGUUGAUGUUUAAAUCCCUAAAAAAUCACGGGAGCCCGGAAAUUAACGGGACAUCGUGUGGCGUCUUCCCAUAGCCAAUGGAGGCAGUGGUAAAAAUCCGAGGCCGUUUCGCAUACUGCCUUCCUAGAGGCUUAGUGCAAACGGGACCUUGUUCGGCGAAGGAUCUAGCUUUCUAGUGGGGGUAUGUCCAGUUUGUGAAGGGGGUGUGGGCCCGUUCCUUCGCCCGUUCCUUCAUUGGCCUCGAAACUUUUUAUGUGCUCACGAGGUUCUGUUCGAAGGCACGUGCCAGGUCCUUGCAUUUUUCGGGCGGCGGCAGCCAUAUCCCAUGAAUUUCCUGCAUUUACAUGGGUUCACGCAGGAAAUUCAAGAGCGGGGCAGCGGCCACAUGAAAAUCAUGGACCGAAAUGGCUGGGAAUCCCUGCCCGUGGUCUUUUGUCAAUGCCCAGGCCCUGUGCGCACAGCCGGGAGGGUGGGCCUCACGCACGGGCAGGGGGUGUCAGUGCCCGUCUUGCUGUCAUCUAAAUCCCCGGAAAAUCACGGGAGCCCGGAAAUUGAUGGGACCUCGCGCGGCGUCUUCACACGACCCGUGGAGGCAAUGAUAAAAAUUCGAGGCCGUUUUGCAUACGCCUAACGCAGGCUUAGUGCAAACAGGAUUUUGUCCGGCUAAAGAUCUAGCUCUCGAUUUGAAAGAAUAUGUGUGCUCUUCAUCAACGUAGACAUUUAUCUACAGUAGAUCUUGAAUAACUGAUUGGUAUUGUGAAAUGACGUAGGAGGACCGUUCCUUUGACAAAGUAGCUACAUUGACGACUAGUCCGACGAAAGAAAAAUACCCCCGCGUCGCCCUCCUCNNNNNNNNNNNNNNNNNNNNNNNNNNNNNNNNNNNNNNNNNNNNNNNNNNNNNNNNNNNNNNNNNNNNNNNNNNNNNNNNNNNNNNNNNNNNNNNNNNNNNNNNNNNNNNNNNNNNNNNNNNNNNNNNNNNNNNNNNNNNNNNNNNNNNNNNNNNNNNNNNNNNNNNNNNNNNNNNNNNNNNNNNNNNNNNNNNNNNNNNNNNNNNNNNNNNNNNNNNNNNNNNNNNNNNNNNNNNNNNNNNNNNNNNNNNNNNNNNNNNNNNNNNNNNNNNNNNNNNNNNNNNNNNNNNNNNNNNNNNNNNNNNNNNNNNNNNNNNNNNNNNNNNNNNNNNNNNNNNNNNNNNNNNNNNNNNNNNNNNNNNNNNNNNNNNNNNNNNNNNNNNNNNNNNNNNNNNNNNNNNNNNNNNNNNNNNNNNNNNNNNNNNNNNNNNNNNNNNNNNNNNNNNNNUGGAAGCCCAGGCGUGAGGUGGGGAUGAGGCGGUGUUGGGCGGAGCCAACGUGCGUGAUCUGGGCAUCGUGUGCGUGCGGGCUUCCAUCGUGGUCGUCCUCACAGUGGGUGUUGCAGCACCCGCUGCUCGUGACGAAUGUGGUGGUGGUGGAUGGGACUCCCGGCAGUGGCAUCGAUCCAAGCUCGGAUCCACUCCAUUGCCCAACCAUGUUUGUGGGGGAUGCAUGAAGGACUGGCCUUUCCAACUUUCCGACCAUCGUUGAGGUCUUGACUCGUCAUCUGAAGGGCCUGGGAGUCAAACAUGCCUCCCGUCUGGUGGCGAUGCGCCGCCGGGGAGCUCGCCUUCUACCCAGGAAUGACAAGGCGGGGCGGUGGCGCCCAGAUCUAGCCAGCCCGGGGUGGGCAUGGACCUGGCGGCAUCCAUCAGUCAUCGUUGUUAAAGCAUGAGCGAGGAUGGAGUUGGGGCCAUGGAUACCAAGGCGAUGUCCUUGGUGGUGGGAGCGGCGGUACCCGGGGGCGGGGCACACAACUCGGAUGGUGACUGGUUGCUUGGGUCGUGUGGGCGGCGUGGCGGCUGGUGUGCGAUGGCCGGGGAUAGUGCGACGACCAUCAUUGUGGCCUGAUGUAUUCCGUCUCGGAGGCGAAGAGGGCUUGCCGGCAUGAAAAUCCUCUCUAGCUUGGCCCGGCCGACAAUGGCGGCGCCUAUGUGCGUCAUCUCCUUCUUGAAGGUGUCGUUGCGAUUUCUCUUCAUCCGUCUUGUUGUUCCGGGGGAAACCUUGAUCAUUUGAUCAGACGGUGGCAGCACUUCAGUGUCGUGUCCUUCCUGAAGACACCUCUUUGAAGCAUGUGGUUCGUCGUGCAUGGCUUCGUCUCUUCAUUGUGAUGGAGGGCUCCAGAGACAUCAAGCGGUUUCCUGUAGUUUGCUUGGAGUGUUUUGGGGUUGUGAAGCUUUUGCAAUCGCCCUUGUAUCUUGCUUGGGUGUGUGUGGUAUGUCGAGUUGUUAGUGUUGUUGUGGUGUGUGUUUGUAUCGGUUGGUUCAGUGAUGGUUGCUUUAUAUAUAAAGUUGGGGAAACCUUUUUGGUACAAAGGACGUAGGAGAAACUGCAAGGUGCUCGCACUUACCUCAUAGGAGGUAAAAGGAUGUAUUUAUUUAAGGGUACAUUUGACUAUAUAAAUAUGUAAUAUUACUACUACAUAAACAAAAAAAUACUGUUGACAGAUUAGUGGCCUAUCUUUCAAAAUAGAGGGGGUUUGUUCAUAUGGUUUCUGCCAAUUACCUUGUUACAAAUCAAAAUUAGUACACAUUUUUGCCAACUAACCUGUGACAAAUCAUAAUUAUCUGCCAGUACAUGCUGACAAAUGAUAUACAAAUCUGCAUGGUUAUUUAUUCUCGCAAAAUGGAAUUAUUUUUUGAGGUAAAAACACCGGGAGUCAUAGAACUUGCAUAGGACGGUCAGUUUGGCGCAUAAACUUGCAAAAUACGUUUUUCUGGUCAUCCAACUUGCACGGACGUUCAUAUACGGUCAUAUUUCACGUACGCGAGCGUAUCCGUGGCUUACAUGGCAUUCCCGGGCCCGCUUUCAGCUGCUGUCAGAUGAUAGAUUUGCAGAAAAAUCCUUGGCUUUUGUUAUUUACAUAUUAGGCCCCUAAAAAUGGAAAAACAAAUAUAGGGAAUGGAGGUGUUUCAAACCCAACACCUGCUCCUAGUAAGCUCGUGUGAACGAACAGACCAAUGAUUGUUCUUGUCCAAAUAACACGACUAACCUUUAUAUCAUAUAAACGCCGCCAAAAAAUAAAUUUGAAAAGAAAUGUAACCCGAAAAAGGGAGCACUGUGGCUCAAACAUGUGACCUCAUGGUCAACGUUACCAAGGUUACCACCAGGCUACAACAACACAACAUGUGUAAAAGGGAAAAACAUUUUUCUACUUUUACAUACACAUUUUAAAAAAAUAUACAUCAGAAACAUUUUCAUAUAUUUUAACAUUUUCUAAUAGAACAUUGUUUUUUUAAUAUAUGUUUUGAUGUCUACUUAUACAUACACAUUGUACAUUUUUUGCAAAUCAUCAGAAGAAUUUUUAUAUAUUAUUAAAAAAUUUCCAAUAGAAGAUAUUUUUUCAAAUAUAUGUUUAGAUGUCUAGUUUUACAUACACAUUGUAGUUUUUUAUACUCCAGAAACAUUUUUAUACACGUUAACCUUUUCAAAAUACAUGAUUAACAUUUCUAAACAUAUAUGUUUUGAUGUCUUUUCUUUUCAUACACAUUAUCCAUUUAGGUAUACAUCUAAUAUUUUUUAUACAUGUUUAAUAUUUUUUAAACGUAUGAUUACAUUCUUUCACACACAAAUCUUUGAAACCUUUUCAAAAUACGUGUUAAACAUUUUUGCGAAGGUACGAAACAAUUUUUACAUUGUAUAACAUUUAAAAAUUUCAUGAACAGUUUUUCAAAAUGCGUGAACAUUUUUUCCAAUGCAACGUAUGUUUUUUUUAAUCAGCAAAUAUGUUUUACAAUGUUCAUUUUUUUACAAUGUCACGCACCUUUUAUUGGUAAUACAAAUAUUUUUAAAAUUGUCACAAACACAAGAAUAUAAGUUGUUUUCGUACGUAGAACAAGAGGAAAUAACAACGUGAAAAUUGUUUAUCCCUUCUGCACAUGUUGUGUUGUUGUAGUCUGGUGGUAAUCUUACUUAACGUAGACCACGAGGUCACAUGUUUGAGGCACAGUGCUCCCAUCUUUCGGGUUACAUUUCUUUUUAAAUUUAUUUUCAGCCGCGUUUAUAUGAUAUAAAGGUUUGUGCGUGUAAUUAUAACAAGAACAAUAGUCGGCCUAUUGGUUGUCACCCGAGAUCACUAAGCGCAGGUUGUGGGUUUGCAACCCCCGGCAUCCCCUGAUUUUACAUUUUGUGUUUUGAGCUUUAUAUGUAAAUAAAAAAACCAAGGAUUUUUGUGCAAAUCUACCAUGCGACAGAGGCUGAUAGCGGGCCCUAGUCACGCUGGCAUGCCACGUAAGCCACGAAUACGCCCGCGUACGCGAAAUGUGACCGUAUAUAAACGUCAGUGCAAGUUGAAUGACUAGAAACACGUAUUUUGCAAGUUUAUGCACCAAACUGACCGUCGCGUGCAAGUUCUAUGACUCCCGGUGUAUUUAUAAUUAAUACUAAUAAAUAAUAAUUAAGAUUCGAUUUCCUUGUACAACAACGCAAAAAUGAACAUGCUUCUGCCAACUAACUUGUGACAAAUCAGAAUGUACUUACACAAGUUAGUUGGCACAACGAUGUUACCGGUUGCAGGCACAAAUUCGCGCUCACCACUGGUAUGUAAAUUACAUAUCAGUGGCAGGGAGAGUUUUCUGCCCGUCACUUGUAUCAUGCUAGAUUACCAUUGGCAGACGCUAGGUUGCGUCCGCCACUAGUGUGACCCCGUCUAUAAGCAGUUUCCAACAGUUAUAUAAUAUAUAUACGACCAUGUACUCUUCAAUCUUUUGACUUUUUUUAGACCCCUCCUCCGCUUUCGCGUAUUCUUCAUGGUAAACUCUCCAGGGACGGAACCAGGUUUUGGACAAGGACAGGGUGAAGAUGACAUUGGAAGAUCACACAAAGAAAGUCACGGUGUAUGUAGCAUUCUCGUAUUCUAGACAUAAGUACACCGUAAAUUCUAGUCAUCCGUACGGCCAGUAUACUACGGUAGAAAUGAACAUAAUUACAUGUCUAUUGAUUUUAUUUAAAAUAGAUUGUGUACUUAACUACCAAAAAUAUCAAAGGCCGAUUAGUUGUUCAGAACUAAACUUGGUUUUCGUCUCUUCUUCAUGUGUCUACACAAACGUGAGUUUGCAAUCGAAUAAUUUCAAUUAUAAAAUUGGUGAAUAAUAUUUGUAGCCACUACUUUAAUAAUUUCUUGCACGACACAACUAGGCAUAACUAGGAAAAUACGGGAAUACAUACCUUCAUUGCAUGGUUGUAGGUGCCGCUCAUGCUUCGCCCUUGCAGUUCGAGUCGUCGAUUGUUGGGUUGGAUUAAUCCACUUUGGAUCUUCAUCUUGAAUCUUUGUUAGCUUCAAAUUUCAGUCUCAAGAUUUGGCUGGUUCGACGGAAGGAGGCGCGCAUGCGAGAAGAAAGAGGGAGGAGACCACAAAACCAAUCUACUUCCGAUAGAUCAAUCACCGCAAAACGAGGGUAACAGUUAACAUUCUAUUUCCUACCGCAACAAUCAAACAAAAAAUAUGUUUGAGCCAACAACCAUGUCAGAAAUCAAAAUUGGAACCACUCAAAUAAAAAAUCAAUACAGUAAGGUCGUAAAGAUAACAUUUAUUACAAUGAUUUAUAUAUUACCUUAUCUAUACCUUCAUGAUUUGAUACCACUCUAAUUUAUUUACUUAUUUGUGAAAGUAAAAAAUCCAUAUUAACCAUACAUAACCAUUAACAACAUUUUUAUUGUAUAAUUUGGAUUGAUUAUCGCAUGUGUCACAUGGUAUCAUUAACAACAUCUUACCUCAAUCACAAAAAUAAAUAAAUAAGUAAAAUCUUACAUCGCGGCAGGUAAUAGUAAUAUCUUGGGACACUCCAUUUCAUAUACUUUCCUCCGUUCUUAAAUAUUUUUCUUUUUAAAGAUUUCAAAUGGACUACCAUAUAUAGACGUAUAUAGAUAUAUUUUAAAUUGUAAAUUCACUCAUUUUGCUCCGUAUGUAGUCACUUGGUGAAAUCUCUAGAAAGACGAAGGGAGUAGAAGAAUAAAAAACCAACUUUGCUACUAUUUAACAAAAAUAGGGUGCGAGAUAUUGUAGGACACAUCGGGGCCACCGGUAAUCUUCUCGUGGGAGAGAUUAUGGAAGGACACACUAGGCCCACCAGUUGAAUUAAGGGGGCCGGAGAGAUUAUGGGAGGGUGCAGGCACACGCGGGUGCGUCCUUUGCACCUGACCGACAACGUCCAGCGUGUGAAGCCACACUGCGAAGGAGUCUUCUGUCACGUAGCACCGCCGGACUUUGUCAUUGUUCGUAACGAGUACCAAACACUAGUUUUGUGAAUCCUUGACAAUUCUAAUGGGUUCUGUUGGCAUUUGUAGAUGCCUGUUUACAUGACUCCCUCCGUCCGAAAAUACUUAUCGAAAAAAUGUACGUAUCUAAGCCUAUUUUAGUUUUAUAUACAUUCAUUUUUAUUCAUUUCUUCGACAAGUAUUUCUGGGCUGGAGUAUGUCAUGUGGCCACGUACGUACGUGGUGCACUGUCACUGUGCGUAUGUACCAGAAUCUGACCCACCUCUCGCUCGCUGCGUCCUCCCUUUGCGUUCACAUAAUUGUUGGACGUACGAUAGCUUUCGCUCCCGAACGAUACGCCAUCGUUCAUUCUGCAUGUGCACAUACGCUAGGGUAGUAUCCUGUCCUAUGCACGUAACGCACAAGUCUUUCUUUGUUAAUUUCUUUUUCAUGUCAGAGUUGAUACAUCCAUUUAUUAGGCCUACAUAAUCAUUAACAACAUGUUCUCCCGGGGAAUUAAUGGCCUGUUCAAAGGACAUUCAGUUUUGCAGAAUUAUGUAUCUCCAGGACGCAAUUGUUCGGUCAUCUCAUCAAUGUCAGAUUUUUUUGGAGUGCAAAUCGCCCGCCCUCUUUAUUGUUUCCACCCGAAGUGGUUACUUGUUGGGCAUUAAUUCAAACCUGCACAUAUGAAAAGAUAAAAAGAAAUCUCAAACCUGCAAACCUACAUGCCCCUCCUUUCUCCUAGUAGCAUGCUACCUCCGUCCGGCUUUAUUGGCCCCUUCAUAUUUAGAGCCAGACUUUGACCAUCCAUAGACUAUUUAAAUAUAAAUUAUAUGCUAUAAAACAAUAUACUGUUCGAUUUGUAUUUGCAAGAACUUUCCGACAAUAUAAUUUUUCUGACAUAUAGCUUACAUUUUGUUCGUUAAAUUUUUAGAUCAAAAAAUUUAACCCAAAAUAAGAAGAGGCCUAAUAAUCUCGGACAAAGGGAGUAGCAUGCAUGCCGUCCUUCCCCUCCAUUAUAAAAAGGUUAGUAUGCCAACCCGUGCAUAGUGCGGCUGAUGCGCCAUAGCGCUGGAUAUGUAGGCUAAUGGUCUACUAAUAUGCAAUAAUUAUUCCCUAGCCCACGAAAAGAAAAAUUAGUUAACAUAGCGCACUCCACAAAAUUUUUGUUUAUGUGUCAUGUAUUUAAUAAGGAGAGAGUUUUUAGAGUAACAUAAUAUAUGUUACUAUAGCAUAGCGGUUCCUGAGAAAUGAUGAGUCUACAAGCUAAUAAAUGAAUCCAUCUGUGAACUACUAAAACGAAGAAAAAAAUAUAAGAUGAGCCUGUAAACCGGAAAGGAGGGAGCACAAUUAUGCGCUGUUUAUCAUUUAGUACCCAGUCACCUUGGGUUACGAUCCUCAACCGUUUCUGUACGGUGCAACAUGAAAGAUGACUUGUGGUGUCGGUCCAAGUGGCAGCCACCGUAACUUUAGUGACGUUGCAUACCCGUCCGGAGGUUGAACCACACACAACUAUGCAUCUCUUUAUAUUAACGAGGGAUGCAGCUCGUUGUAUUCUGCGGUUGAUAUAUCUUAAUAGUUACACAAUCCUAAUACCUCUAUUCUGGGAUUAAUGAAUUGUACCUUCUUACUAAACUUCACUAGAUGAGCUCUUUUACGAACCUUCUAUCUAGGAACACUCCGUAUUGGCGCAUCUCAGCGACAUGGAGCGAGUCCAGCAGGUAGAUAUUCGUCCCAUCAGUCUAGUAAACGUCUCUCAGACAUUGAACAGACGCGAACACCGGGGUCAUGACGCAGGCGGUGUCCUCGGCCGGCGAGCCGCUUCAACACUAGCGCCAGUGACAGAUCACGUCUGCUCUGCUGGGCCGGCGUCAAUCCAGAGCGGCCACUCUAGAGCGGCAUGAAUACCCGUAGGUGGCGUCGAGCGGGAAAGCGCAGGGGCGAGGAAGAGGGUUUUGAGUGGGUUAGGUUUGUCGGAAACGAGCGUGGCAGUGGUUCGGACGUCCGUAAAGGCCCCCGUUUUGAUUACGUUUUGCGGGACGUCCGUGAGGGGCUCACCUCACCUCUAGCCUUCAAUUAUUUGCCUAGGCGAUAUUUGCACGUGACGUGACGAGAGAAGCCGGAUGUGCCCUGCUCCCGCACGUCCUUAAAUACUUGCCACCUCCUCUGUGGAUCCUCCAUCUCCCAACGCACCGAUCAGACUCUCGCCCCGUUUCCUUUGUUCUUCGCUACACCAUAUUGCACUAGGUAGCUCGCUCAAUACAUACUACAGUACUACUGUAGUAUCCCUCUUCUCUACUUUAUCCAAUUUAUGGUCGUACGUUAGUUCUCUCGGGUUCAGUUAUGGAGUAGGAUAGGAGUAGAAGGUAGGGGUUAAUUUAGUUAAAUCCUUGAUGAAAGAACCCGGCUUUAACAUUCCUCCUCUCUUUAAUAUUGCAUGCAGGAAGACGACUAUGGCAGGCAGCAGCAGCAUCCCAGCCACCACCGUCCGUGAGAUCCGUGUUGUGCAGCGCGCGGACGGGGCCGCGGCGGUACUGGCCAUCGGCACGGCGAACCCGCACCACUGCGUGCCCCAGGGAGACUACCACGACUACUACUUCCGCGUCACCAACAGCGACCACCUCACCGACCUCAAGCCCACCUUCGCCAAGCUAUGCGGGAUGACGGGCAUCGGCAGGCGUUUCUUCCACCACACCGACGAAAUGCUCGCCACGCACCCGAACUUGUCCC